Long non-coding RNA from Osmia bicornis bicornis, 441 nucleotides. RefSeq lists it as uncharacterized. The transcript has 5 exons. The record is from RefSeq and is a predicted model, not a curated record. NCBI's taxonomy places the organism in Eukaryota, Metazoa, Arthropoda, Insecta, Hymenoptera, Megachilidae.
CCUUGCAGUCUAUGUUCAGUUAGGUGUCAUGGCGUCUUCCCAUGUUGUAGUUGACCUGUCGUUUACUUAAUUCUAUUUGUGCUUCGAUAUUUAAGUUGUCUAUUCUUGUUGUUUACAUUAUACAAUUUUAAUGUUAGUAAAGUAUAUUUGGAUUUUAUUUGGUUGAAUGAUGACACUCCCGAUGAGAGAAGAAAUGUAUCUCGCCCGUUACAUUAUAAAUAGCUAUUUUCGUAAGCAUGCUAUCAUCUAAUAUGGAUGACGGUAUUCUAUUUACUGUAAAUUUGCACCGGACCAUGGGAUAAAUCAUCUAGUUACGCUCCCCAAGGAUGUUAUUGAAAAGAGCAUAUCGCAUUAUACAAGAGCAAGGUGCAAUUUUGUCCGAUUCCGAUUCUGCGAGUGAAAGGUGUAACUGUGGCAAGAAGAAGAAGGCAAGCUGAAGAU